RNAcentral lists this transfer RNA (73 nucleotides) under Cimex lectularius (bed bug). Its description in RNAcentral is "tRNA-Gly". It matches the Rfam family "tRNA". From Rfam's summary of the family: Transfer RNA (tRNA) molecules are approximately 80 nucleotides in length. Their secondary structure includes four short double-helical elements and three loops (D, anti-codon, and T loops). Further hydrogen bonds mediate the characteristic L-shaped molecular structure. tRNAs have two regions of fundamental functional importance: the anti-codon, which is responsible for specific mRNA codon recognition, and the 3' end, to which the tRNAs corresponding amino acid is attached (by aminoacyl-tRNA synthetases). tRNAs cope with the degeneracy of the genetic code in two manners: having more than one tRNA (with a specific anti-codon) for a particular amino acid; and 'wobble' base-pairing, i.e. permitting non-standard base-pairing at the 3rd anti-codon position. The record is from Rfam by way of RNAcentral. Lineage: Eukaryota; Metazoa; Arthropoda; Insecta; Hemiptera; Cimicidae.
GUCACGAUAGCUCAAGUGGUAGAGCAGUGGCAUACCAAGCCGAAGAUCGUGGGUUCGAAUCCCGCUCGUGCCA